GCUAUUGAUGCAUUAGCGGUCGAUUUAGCGAGUCUAGUGAAGACUCGCCAAAUUGACAGCAGAUCGCUCUCUAGUUGACCCCUGUACUCUACUCCCAAUGAGAAGAGUAAGAUAAGGCAACAGGAGAAU
Chelonoidis abingdonii (Abingdon island giant tortoise) is the source of this 129-nucleotide non-coding RNA. The record is from RefSeq and is a predicted model, not a curated record. NCBI's taxonomy places the organism in Eukaryota, Metazoa, Chordata, Testudines, Testudinidae.